ACGAUUGAAAUUUUUUGCCGCUGUCGAUGCUCCAGCCACCACCACUCAAUCAUUUUGGCCGUGGGCCAUCACCAACCACACCCCUCCUUCUUCAUACUAUUUUUCUUAAAGAAAGCCAUCGAUUCAGCUUGAGAAAGAGAAGAAAGAAAGGGGGAAAGAAAGAGAAGAGAGAGAUAUGAGAGACAAGAGAAGAAAAAAGUAAAAG
This 205-nucleotide long non-coding RNA is filed under the name Elaeis guineensis (African oil palm). RNAcentral describes it as "long non-coding RNA (EGUI_LNC016902)". The record is from RNAcentral. Lineage: Eukaryota; Viridiplantae; Streptophyta; Magnoliopsida; Arecales; Arecaceae.